GUAAGAAUCUACCUUCAGGAUGGGGACAACAGUUGGAAACGACUGCUAAAACCCGAUGUGCCGCAAGGUGAAAUAUUAAUAGCCUGAAGAAGAGCUUGCGUCUGAUUAGCUAGUUGGUGGGGUAAGAGCCUACCAAGGCGACGAUCAGUAGCUGGUCUGAGAGGAUGAGCAGCCACACUGGGACUGAGACACGGCCCAGACUCCUACGGGAGGCAGCAGUGGGGAAUUUUCCGCAAUGGGCGAAAGCCUGACGGAGCAACGCCGCGUGAGGGAGGAAGGCUCUUGGGUUGUAAACCUCUUUUGCUUGGGAAGAAGAUCUGACGGUACCAAGCGAAUCAGCAUCGGCUAACUCCGUGCCAGCAGCCGCGGUAAUACGGAGGAUGCAAGCGUUAUCCGGAAUUAUUGGGCGUAAAGCGUCCGCAGGUGGUCGUUCAAGUCGGCUGUCAAAGGUUGAAGCUUAACUUCAAAAAGGCAGUGGAAACUGAACAACUAGAGGUCAGUAGGGGUAGCAGGAAUUCCCAGUGUAGCGGUGAAAUGCGUAGAGAUUGGGAAGAACAUCGGUGGCGAAAGCGUGCUACUGGGCUGAAUCUGACACUGAGGGACGAAAGCUAGGGGAGCAAAAGGGAUUAGAUACCCCU
Molecule: ribosomal RNA, 638 nt
Filed under: Chroococcus sp. WUC1517
Lineage: Bacteria; Bacillati; Cyanobacteriota; Cyanophyceae; Chroococcales; Chroococcaceae
Description: bacterial SSU rRNA
Rfam family: Bacterial small subunit ribosomal RNA
Source: RNAcentral